AUUCCAGCUCCAAUAGCGUAUAUUUAAGUUGUUGCAGUUAAAAAGCUCGUAGUUGGAUUUUGGUUAAGAGGGCGCGGUCGGCCGUUUGGUCUGUACUGCGUUGUCUUGACUUCCUGAUGAGGACAUGCUCUUGGUUAACGCUGAGACAUGGAGUCAUCGUGGUUACUUUGAAAAAAUUAGAGUGUUCAAAGCGGGCUUACGCUUGAAUAUAUUAGCAUGGAAUAACACUAUAGGACUCCUGUCCUAUCUCGUUGGUCUCGGGAUGGGAGUAAUGAUUAAGAGGAACAGUUGGGGGCAUUCGUAUUUCAUGGCUAGAGGUGAAAUUCUUGGAUUUGUUAAAGACGGACUACUGCGAAAGCAUCUGCCAUGGAUGUUUUCAUUA
RNAcentral lists this ribosomal RNA (382 nucleotides) under Bathycoccus sp. RNAcentral's name for it is "partial small subunit ribosomal RNA". It matches the Rfam family "Eukaryotic small subunit ribosomal RNA", at positions 582 to 975 of the family's 1831-position model. Lineage: Eukaryota; Viridiplantae; Chlorophyta; Mamiellophyceae; Mamiellales; Bathycoccaceae. The record is from RNAcentral.